AAUUUUAUUGCUCACCUGUUUAACAAAAACAUGUCCUUUUAGGAAUAUUUAUAUAAGGUCUGGCCUGCCCAAUGAGUGAUUGAAUGGCUGCGGUAUUUUGACCGUGCUAAGGUAGCAUAAUCAUUUGUCUUUUAAUUGAGGGCUUGUAUGAAAGGUUGGAUGAAGUAAUA
Non-coding RNA from Rhodnius prolixus, 170 nucleotides. The record is from Rfam. NCBI's taxonomy places the organism in Eukaryota, Metazoa, Arthropoda, Insecta, Hemiptera, Reduviidae.